This is a long non-coding RNA of Hordeum vulgare subsp. vulgare (domesticated barley), 873 nucleotides long. RefSeq lists it as uncharacterized. The transcript has 5 exons. Lineage: Eukaryota; Viridiplantae; Streptophyta; Magnoliopsida; Poales; Poaceae. The record is from RefSeq and is a predicted model, not a curated record.
GGUGUUGUAGGUCAGAUCCGCAGGAUCCCCUCAAGAGCCUCGGUAUGUAUCCCUCCUUACCUUUUCUUCUUCUUCCUCUGAUGCGUGGGCGUGUGCAGGUCAGAGGAGAAUGAGCCAGAGCAGGUGGAGGAGCAGGCAAACAUCCGGUGACGUCUCUGCUAGCCGGAUUCAGUGGAUGGUCAGGGCCUAAGUCAAGGCGGCGGUCGACUGCAGCAUGGAGGAGUCAUUGAGCAACUUCGAGCCAAAGGCGGCGGCAUGCGACGACGACCUCAGCCUGCAACAUAAGCUCCCUGACAUGGCAAUAAUCUGUGAAGUCGUGUAGGUUCGGCUCAGUCUCGUUGUCUUCGUCCAGCUCACCACCAUCACCGACCGCUACAGACAUUAGAGAUUGGUAAGCUGCAGACUACUAUAUCCAUUGGUGGCAGCAAGUUGGUUCAAACACGGGAGAGUUCAUCCGACAAAAGAGCUUCUCUCCGGUUGUAAAAGCAUUAAAUGGCAGGUUGUCAUGGGCUCCACAUGCGUCUUAUUGUUGGCCCUUGGUGCGGCGCCUCAGCCUCCCAUAGAGGACCGGAAGCUUGCGGUAGCAGGAGCAAAAGCAUCUCCGAGCCCUUCGGCCCUUCCUGACGAGCUGCAUCUCAUAGUUCACCACUGGAAUCCAUGCUUUGUUUUUGUCGCUCUCAGGUUGCAUAUCAUGCCAAAUUGUCUCUGGCCUGCUCGCUCGUUGUUUGUUGUCUCAUUUGUCUCUCGCUAUGGAAGAAAUAUAUGAGUGUUUAUGUAGUAACCUGUUCUAGCAUUAUUGAUGAAUUCUAUUCGGAGACUAAUAUGAUGAAUUGUAUUCGGAGACUAAUAUGAUGAAUUGUAUUCCGAGACUAA